This 253-nucleotide ribosomal RNA is filed under the name uncultured bacterium. Its description in RNAcentral is "partial 16S ribosomal RNA". It matches the Rfam family "Bacterial small subunit ribosomal RNA", at positions 524 to 776 of the family's 1533-position model. The record is from RNAcentral.
UACGGAGGAGGCGAGCGUUGUUCGGAAUUACUGGGCUUAAAGCGCGUGUAGGCGGAAUGGCAGGUGUUUUGUGAAAGCCCCCGGCUCAACCGGGGAACGGCAGGGCAAACCACCAUUCUUGAGGCAGGUAGGGGCAAGUGGAACCAUGGGUGGAGCGGUGAAAUGCGUAGAUAUUCAUGGGAACGCCGGUAGCGAAAGCGGCUUGCUGGGGCCGUCCUGACGCUGAGACGCGAAAGCGUGGGUAGCAAACAGG